UUAUUCCUACGGGACGCAGCAGUGGGGGAUAUUGCACAAUGCGGGAAACCCUGAUGCAGCGACGCCGCGUGGGUGAAGAAGCGCCUCGGCGCGUAAAGCCCUGUCAGCAGGGAAGAAAAUGACGGUACCUGAGUAAGAAGCCCCGGCUAACUACGUGCCAGCAGCCGCGGUAAUACGUAGGGGGCAAGCGUUAUCCGGAUUUACUGGGUGUAAAGGGAGCGUAGACGGCCAGACAAGUCUGAAGUGAAAAUCCAGCGCUUAACGUUGGAAGUGCUUUG
RNAcentral lists this ribosomal RNA (278 nucleotides) under uncultured bacterium. RNAcentral's name for it is "partial 16S ribosomal RNA". It matches the Rfam family "Bacterial small subunit ribosomal RNA", at positions 333 to 628 of the family's 1533-position model. The record is from RNAcentral.